CGCCUUAAUCACCAUCCCAACCCCUUCCUUCACAGCCCCACACAGGCUAAAAAAGAAAUCCGCACCCACAGCCUCCCACUUGCGCCCUGACCCUGCUCCGUAUCCGGAUUUCCAACAUUGACUCAAACUGCUCUCAUCGGACGCUUCCCCCACAACCGCUUGGAGGGACCUGGUCCCUUGGGAGCCUCUUCCCGGGACCCCAGGAUGCGCCAGGCUCAGUGCCCCCACCCGUGGCGCCCUCUCUGCCUCCCUGCCAGCCGUCCGCAAGGCCCUGCACCUACAGUGCCUCAAACUCGGUAGCUGCUAGUGGAUUCUGAGAACAGAUGCCAUUGAAAUCCUCAAGCACCAGAACUCCUGGGACCCCCUCAUUAGACUGCCUAUGAAGACAAAUUUACUGUGUAUCCUUGGUCCAAAACCUUAUACUCCUUGAGUCUCUGCC
RNAcentral lists this long non-coding RNA (439 nucleotides) under Dasypus novemcinctus (nine-banded armadillo). RNAcentral's name for it is "lncRNA (ENSDNOG00000051913.1)". Lineage: Eukaryota; Metazoa; Chordata; Mammalia; Cingulata; Dasypodidae. The record is from RNAcentral.